Oreochromis niloticus (Nile tilapia) is the source of this 473-nucleotide long non-coding RNA. RefSeq lists it as uncharacterized. The record is from RefSeq and is a predicted model, not a curated record. Lineage: Eukaryota; Metazoa; Chordata; Actinopteri; Cichliformes; Cichlidae. The transcript has 3 exons.
UGGCACUGUCAGGUGUCUGCCUGGAAGUAGAAUGCUUCGCGCGAAUCAACUGAGCCGUGUGGAGGGCGGGGCCUAAAGGAAGAGGUCCUAAUGUGGUUGGUCACUUUAGUGGCCAUUUCAGGAUGUGAAAGUGACCUCUGCAGUAACAUCCCUGCUUCUGCCAACUGGUUUUCGGUGGUUUUUUCCUUCAAAAACCAAAAGAAUAUGAAAAUACCAUCACAAGUGCUUUCUAACAUUCACCCUCCAACAGAUGCAUAGGAGAGCAACUUCAGGAUAACAUUUUGCCCAAGCAGCCAGGCGCUGAAUCACCAACCUCCUGAUUAGUAGAUCUGAUCUGCUCCGCCUCCUGAGCUACAGCCAUGUGUAAGUUCACCACUGAAAUGUUAAACUUGUAUGAAAAACUGCAGACCUCCCGUUCCCCUCCACAGGCUAUUUUUAGGUCCUAAGGAGGGUCUAAAGUUAAAGACAAAGAC